Molecule: long non-coding RNA, 651 nt
Organism: Drosophila willistoni
Lineage: Eukaryota; Metazoa; Arthropoda; Insecta; Diptera; Drosophilidae
Exons: 2
Source: RefSeq, a predicted model, not a curated record
AGAGCGCAGACUCCCAUCGAACCUGGCCAAACAAUGAGAAGAGAGUAAAACAUCGAAUGUAGAGCAUUGUGUCAGGUCAAAGGUUUUGCCUUUACGUUUACCUGUGUUUGUUUUUUUUUCCUUUUGGCCAAAUGCGAUUUAUGUCGACCGGUGGCAAGGAGAUGAUGUCCUUGCCAUGCCUUUUGUUUAGGCCUUGCUUAGACUCGCGGUAUUUAUUGCGGUAGGUCGUGUUUUUUUCAUUGCCUAUGACUUCCCCUUUUUAGUUUUUGAUUAUUUUGUUUCUGCGAUUUAAGUGUCAAUAAAAAAUGUGAAUAUAUUUGUUUUGACUUAGUUCGGUCUAGACCCAUAUAGAAAAAUAGUUAAUCGUAAAUUUUUUAAGGCUCCGAAUUUGUCUGUUUUUUAAGCUGAUCACGAUGUCUUAUAUAUUCAAUCCUGGCUAUGUGGGUCCUUGUCCUCCCUGCUGUAGUUUCAGUUGCGGACCUUGCUGCGGGCCUUGCGGUGGAUCUUCCUGUGGCCCAAGUUGUGAUCCCUGCUGUGGAUCCUGUGGACCUUGCUGUGGGCCCUGCGGUUCUUAUCGCCGAUGCUGCUAAAGAAUUUAGACAAAUUUCGAGCCUUAAAUCUAUUAAAUAAAAUUGUUAUCGCCUUCCUCUA